ACAGAGGUCUCAAGCGUUGUUCGGAAUUACUGGGCGUAAAGCGUGUGUAGGCGGCGAGGUAAGUCAGAUGUGAAAGCCCGGGGCUCAACCUCGGAACUGCAUCCGAUACUGCCUUGCUAGAGUAGUGGAGGGGAGACUGGAAUUCACGGUGUAGCAGUGAAAUGCGUAGAUAUCGUGAGGAACACUAGUGGCGAAGGCGAGUCUCUGGACACUUACUGACGCUGAGACACGAAGGCUAGGGUAGCGAAAGGG
RNAcentral lists this ribosomal RNA (252 nucleotides) under uncultured bacterium. RNAcentral describes it as "partial 16S ribosomal RNA". It matches the Rfam family "Bacterial small subunit ribosomal RNA", at positions 525 to 776 of the family's 1533-position model. The record is from RNAcentral.